AUGAACGCUGGCGGCGUGGAUAAGGCAUGCAAGUCGGACGAUUUCCUUUUUGAAGAAGAUGCGAUUACAUCAAGUCAACUGAUAUUUUGGAGAUAGUGGCGAACGAGCUAGUAACACCUUGGUACGUACCCAAAAGUUUGGUAUAGCUCGCCGAAAGGCGGGGUAAUCCCAAAUAAUCCCUCUAUCUAUCGGAUAGAAGGGUAAAGUCGCAAGACACUUUUGGAGCGGCCUAGGACCGAUCAGUUAGUUGGUGAGGUAAUGGCUCACCAAGACGAUGACCGGUAGGGG
This 288-nucleotide ribosomal RNA is filed under the name uncultured bacterium. RNAcentral describes it as "partial 16S ribosomal RNA". It matches the Rfam family "Bacterial small subunit ribosomal RNA", at positions 29 to 289 of the family's 1533-position model. The record is from RNAcentral.